GACGAACGCUGGCGGCGUGCCUAAUACAUGCAAGUUGAGCGCUGAAGGUUGGUACUUGUACCAACUGGAUGAGCAGCGAACGGGUGAGUAACGCGUGGGUAAUCUGCCUUUGAGCGGGGGACAACAUUUGGAAACGAAUGCUAAUACCGCAUAAAAACUUUAAACACAAGUUUUAAGUUUGAAAGAUGCAAUUGCAUCACUCAAAGAUGAUCCCGCGUUGUAUUAGCUAGUUGGUGAGGUAAAGGCUCACCAAGGCGAUGAUACAUAGCCGACCUGAGAGGGUGAUCGGCCAAAAUGGGAAUGAGACACGGCCCAAACACCUACGGGAGGGAGCAGUAGGGAAACUUCGGAAAAGGAGGAAAGUAUGACCGAGCAACGCCGGGUGAGUGAAGAAGGGUUUCGGAUCGUAAAACUCUGUUGGUAGAGAAGAACGGUGGUGAGAGUGGAAAGCUCAUCAAGUGACGGUAACUACCCAGAAAGGGACGGCUAACUACGUG
Molecule: ribosomal RNA, 497 nt
Filed under: uncultured bacterium
Lineage: Bacteria
Description: partial 16S ribosomal RNA
Rfam family: Bacterial small subunit ribosomal RNA
Source: RNAcentral